AAAUUUUUGCCCGAAUUUUAUUCAUUUUUAGUCGUUUUAAUUUUGUUCUUUCGUCAAAAUAGUCAGAUUGAAUAAAUAAAAUUUUCCAUGUUAUUAUUUUAAUUUUAUCAAGGUUAUUUAAAAAGUUGUGAAUUUUAUUUGAUUCAAUUGAUUAAAAUUGUUUUAAAUCGAUUAAGUCAUCUAAAAAAUGCAUUAUAUACAUUUUGAUUUAUUUAAAUAAUGUGUGUUUCUUGGUGUGCUUCUUUGAUUCAAUCUGAACCGUUGAUUCAAAUUAAUCAAGGGUCUAAGUUCACAAUCCAUGUACAUGUUAUUAUCCAAUCAGAAUUUAGAAAUAAAUUGAAUAAUAAUUAAAAAAAAUGAAAAGAAAAGAAAACUCUCUUCUUCCAACGGUAACAAAAAAUAAUAAGAGAAAAAAGAAAAGAAAAAGUACAUUGGACUCUCUCAAACGGUAAUAAAAAAGGGGAAGAAAGAGGCAUUAAAGAGAGGACGUUCUUUCUCUCUUCGGGGAUCUUCCUCAACUCCUUUUCUUCCUCAAUCUAAAAAUAUCAUCUUCCAAAUAACCACUUUCCUCUCUCUUCCUUCACCAACAACAAUCUACCCUCAUUAACUUCACCAAAAUUCUUCCAUCACACAAAACUCAAAUCAAAUUCCUUUCUGCCUCCAUUGUGAAACAGCCACCGUUGUACGCCUUCUUCUUCUUCUCCAUUACACCGCCUCGCCGUCACGACAACCAUCGUCACUCACCCUCACCUCUUCCGAUUUUCACCAUUAACGUCGGGUCGUCCUCAUAAGUGCGAAAGCC
RNAcentral lists this long non-coding RNA (802 nucleotides) under Lathyrus oleraceus (garden pea). Its description in RNAcentral is "Pisum sativum (pea) long non-coding RNA (PSAT_LNC039536)". The record is from RNAcentral. Lineage: Eukaryota; Viridiplantae; Streptophyta; Magnoliopsida; Fabales; Fabaceae.